GGAGGUCUAUGAUCAAGAUACCAUUUAUAAACUUGAAGGUGAGAUGGUUAGCGGACCACCAGUGAAUUCUUUUCCAGGGCCUCCAAAAGAAUUAUCUACUGGCUCAACAGAUUCUGUGCCUGCUGCAGGUAGCUCCUUCCAUCCUCUUGCUAUACAUGCAGAGCAUUUUAAACCAAUAGUGUUAUUGUACCAGGGGUAGUUGUGACUACUGAUUGAGUUUUAGGGGCAACUUAAUAGCAUAAGGUGAUUUGUCUUCGGAUUUGUUUUGAAGAAUUUGGCAAUUUCAUUCUCGUGAGAAAUGUUACAGAAGUUCCUUUUCCUGCAGGCUUUACUCAACAUGCAACAAGCCACAAUGCUCCACAAUGGCCACCUGAUAGGCAAAGUGUACCAGAUCAGGAGCAUCUUGAUAAACAAAUGCUGCCCGU
Molecule: long non-coding RNA, 425 nt
Filed under: Populus tremula
Lineage: Eukaryota; Viridiplantae; Streptophyta; Magnoliopsida; Malpighiales; Salicaceae
Description: long non-coding RNA (PTRE_LNC001583)
Source: RNAcentral